Anguilla anguilla (European eel) is the source of this 196-nucleotide long non-coding RNA. RefSeq lists it as uncharacterized. The record is from RefSeq and is a predicted model, not a curated record. The transcript has 3 exons. Lineage: Eukaryota; Metazoa; Chordata; Actinopteri; Anguilliformes; Anguillidae.
CAAAGCUUUUAAUCGGUUAAUGGGGAAGGUGGACGGCGGGUAUGCAAGAUCAAAAUGGCUUUGUUUCUCAGUCUGAAGUGGAAAAGGGAAACCUGAAAAAAAAGAAAAAGAAAGUAUGCUUUAUGGCUCUGGACCUCCUCUGGACGCUUGGCACCUCCCCCUCUUCGUGUCUGUACUUCCCGCUCCCGUCUGCUGU